CGCACAAAAUCUGUAAUCUAAUUAUAACUGUUCUGGUUCAGAUUCUUACUUUGUAAACAAGAAAAUCCGCUUAUUUCAUAAAAAGAGGAUGCAGUGUUUGCGAACUACUGAAUAUGCAUAUACUUGGAACGCCAACGAGGUCCCGUGGACGGCGGCAAUAAAAAAUAUGCCGGGAAUCAAGAGUAGGAUAUCGAAACGAGUUGAGCGGCCGCACAGGGAGCCUGGCGUGCACUUGGUCAAACAACGAGAUCUCUAUGGUGGCCUCCGUUUAUUGGCGCUUCUAAUUCAGGACCGGAAGGGGCCGAAAGGCAACGGCGAAAACAGACCUCCCGGAUUAAAAUAGGCUGCCAUAACACUUGGCUUAAAUGCUUUGUAUUAAUAAUUAACACGUUCUAGCGGCAAGCUGCGGUCACGAUCGCCCCGUCUUGACCCCUACCUCCCGCACCGCCAUUGGUCUUUUGAAUAGACUUCCACAAUUUUUUCCGUUUUCUCUUUCGGAACAAAACUCUCCUUUCAUUCCACGAAAAUUCGCGCCGCGUCCCGCGUUCGACCCUCGCUCGCGAAUUACUGCGCUAAUCGAUUGCUGAAUGAUAUUUAUAAAUAGUGCUAGCCUACGUAUACGGUAGCGUUGAACGUGCACGUGGUCCCCGACGAUUGCUACGGAAUUAAUGGAAACGUUUAUGCGUACAGUAGCUCCUGAAAGUGUUCGGUUACUGGCCAGAUCCGAAG
Molecule: non-coding RNA, 729 nt
Organism: Megalopta genalis
Lineage: Eukaryota; Metazoa; Arthropoda; Insecta; Hymenoptera; Halictidae
Source: RefSeq, a predicted model, not a curated record